GAUGAACGCUGGCGGCGUGCCUAAUACAUGCAAGUCGAGCGAACGGACGAGAAGCUUGCUUUUCUGAUGUUAGCGGCGGACGGGUGAGUAACACGUGGAUAACCUACCUAUAAGACUGGGAUAACCUCGGGAAACUGGAGCUAAUACCGGAUAAUAUUUUGAACCGCAUGGUUCAAAAGUGAAAGACGGUCUUGCUGUCACUUAUAGAUGGAUCCGCGCUGCAUUAGCUAGUUGGUAAGGUAACGGCUUACCAAGGCAACGAUGCAUAGCCGACCUGAGAGGGUGAUCGGCCACACUGGAACUGAGACACGGUCCAGACUCCUACGGGAGGCAGCAGUAGGGAAUCUUCCGCAAUGGGCGAAAGCCUGACGGAGCAACGCCGCGUGAGUGAUGAAGGUCUUCGGAUCGUAAAACUCUGUUAUUAGGGAAGAACAUAUGUGUAAGUAACUGUGCACAUCUUGACGGUACCUAAUCAGAAAGCCACGGCUAACUACGUG
Molecule: ribosomal RNA, 497 nt
Filed under: uncultured bacterium
Lineage: Bacteria
Description: partial 16S ribosomal RNA
Rfam family: Bacterial small subunit ribosomal RNA
Source: RNAcentral